Molecule: transfer RNA, 77 nt
Filed under: Idiomarina abyssalis
Lineage: Bacteria; Pseudomonadati; Pseudomonadota; Gammaproteobacteria; Alteromonadales; Idiomarinaceae
Also listed under: 54 other names
Description: tRNA-Met
Rfam family: tRNA
About the family: Transfer RNA (tRNA) molecules are approximately 80 nucleotides in length. Their secondary structure includes four short double-helical elements and three loops (D, anti-codon, and T loops).
Source: RNAcentral
GGCUACGUAGCUCAGCUGGUUAGAGCACAGCACUCAUAAUGCUGGGGUCGCAAGUUCGAAUCUCGCCGUAGCCACCA